GGGAGAGACCCGUCACCUUCAUCAACAUCACCAUCAUCGUCACCAUCAUCAUCGUCAGCGUAGGUAAGAGGAGGUGUAGCAGGAGGUGUAGGUGUGAGGAGGUGUAACAGGAGGUGUAAGUGUGAGGAGGUGUAACAGGAGGUGUAAGUGUGAGGAGGUGUAACAGUAGGUGUAAGUGUGAGGAGGUGUAACAGGAGGUGUAGGUGUGAGGAGGUGUAAGUGUGAGGAGGUGUAGCAGGAGGUGUAGGUGUGAGGAGGUGUAAGUGUGAGGAGGUGUAGCAGGAGGUGUAGGUGUGAGGAGGUGUAAGUGUGAGGAGGUGUAGCAGGAGGUGUAAGUGUGAGGAGGUGUAACAGUAGGUGUAAGUGUGAGGAGGUGUAACAGUAGGUGUAAGUGUGAGGAGGUGUAGCAGGAGGUGUAGGUGUGAGGAGGUGUAAGUGUGAGGAGGUGUAACAGGAGGUGUAGGUGUGAGGAGGUGUAACAGGAGGUGUAAGUGUGAGGAGGUGUAACAGGAGGUGUAAGUGUGAGGAGGUGUAACAGGAGGUGUAGGUGUGAGGAGGUGUAACAGGAGGUGUAAGUGUGAGGAGGUGUAACAGUAGGUGUAAGUGUGAGGAGGUGUAACAGGAGGUGUAAGUGUGAGGAGGUGUAACAGGAGGUGUAAGUGUGAGGAGGUGUAACAGUAGGUGUAAGUGUGAGGAGGUGUAACAGGAGGUGUAGGUGUGAGGAGGUGUAACAGGAGGUGUAGGUGUGAGGAGGUGUAACAGGAGGUGUAAGUGUGAGGAGGUGUAACAGGAGGUGUAAGUGUGAGGAGGUGUAACAGUAGGUGUAAGUGUGAGGAGGUGUAACAGGAGGUGUAGGUGUGAGGAGGUGUAACAGGAGGUGUAGGUGUGAGGAGGUGUAACAGGAGGUGUAAGUGUGAGGAGGUGUAACAGUAGGUGUAAGUGUGAGGAGGUGUAACAGGAGGUGUAAGUGUGAGGAGGUGUAACAGGAGGUGUAAGUGUGAGGAGGUGUAACAGUAGGUGUAAGUGUGAGGAGGUGUAACAGGAGGUGUAGGUGUGAGGAGGUGUAACAGUAGGUGUAAGUAUGAGGAGGUGUAGCAGGAGGUGUAACAGUAGGUGUAGGUGUAGCAGUAGGUGUAAGUGUGAGGAGGUGUAGCAGGAGGUG
Epinephelus fuscoguttatus (brown-marbled grouper) is the source of this 1162-nucleotide long non-coding RNA. RefSeq lists it as uncharacterized. NCBI's taxonomy places the organism in Eukaryota, Metazoa, Chordata, Actinopteri, Perciformes, Serranidae. The record is from RefSeq and is a predicted model, not a curated record. The transcript is spliced from 3 exons.